AUUGAACGCUGGCGGCACGCUUAACACAUGCAAGUCGAGCGGUAACAUGACUAGUAGCAAUACUAGUUGAUGACGAGCGGCGGACGGGUGAGUAACACGUAGGAACUUGCCCAGUAGUGGGGGACAACCAAGGGAAACUUUGGCUACUACCGCAUAUUCUCGAGAGAGGAAAGCUGCCGCAAGGUGGCGCUAUUGGAGAGGCCUGCGUCCGAUUAGCCAGUUGGUGAGGUAAAGGCUCACCAAGGCGAGGAUCGGUAACUGGUCUGAGAGGACGACCAGGCACACGGGGACUGAGACACGGCCCAGACUCCUACGGGAGGCAGCAGUGGGGAAUCUUGGACAAUGGGGGCAACCCUGAUCCAGCGAUGCCGCGUGAGUGAAGAAGGCCUUCGGGUCGUAAAGCUCUUUAGGCUGGGAAGAAGGUUGGUAGUUUAAGAGAUAAUCAAUUUGACUGUACCAGCAGAAUAAGCCCCGGCAAACUCUGUGCCAGCCGCCGCCGUAA
Molecule: ribosomal RNA, 502 nt
Filed under: uncultured bacterium
Lineage: Bacteria
Description: partial 16S ribosomal RNA
Rfam family: Bacterial small subunit ribosomal RNA
Source: RNAcentral